This 253-nucleotide ribosomal RNA is filed under the name uncultured bacterium. RNAcentral's name for it is "partial 16S ribosomal RNA". It matches the Rfam family "Bacterial small subunit ribosomal RNA", at positions 524 to 776 of the family's 1533-position model. The record is from RNAcentral.
UACGUAGGGUGCGAGCGUUGUCCGGAAUUAUUGGGCGUAAAGAGCUCGUAGGCGGUCUGUCGCGUCUGCUGUGAAAUCCCGAGGCUCAACCUCGGGCUUGCAGUGGGUACGGGCAGGCUAGAGUGCGGUAGGGGAGAAUGGAACUCCUGGUGUAGCGGUGGAAUGCGCAGAUAUCAGGAGGAACACCAAUGGCGAAGGCAGCACUCUGGGACGUGACUGACGCUGAGACGCGAAAGCGUGGGGAGCAAACAGG